Molecule: small nucleolar RNA, 107 nt
Organism: Coffea eugenioides
Lineage: Eukaryota; Viridiplantae; Streptophyta; Magnoliopsida; Gentianales; Rubiaceae
Source: RefSeq, a predicted model, not a curated record
AUCUGAUAUUGUGGACAUCUGGUGCACAAUUUAUUGAAUCAUUCCCAGUACUCAUAGAAGGAUUCCCCACGUUGUUGUUUGAUUCCGCAUAUCUCCUUUCUCAAACU